AUGGCGACGGCGGCUGGCGGCGCGCGGCGAGCCCUCGCGGGGCUGCGCUCCCCUUCCCCAUCUACUCUGUCCAGAACGUUUUCCAGGCCGGCAGUUGCCCAGUCCCCGGAGCUGGCAGCCUCCGCUCUGCCGCGCGCCCCGCGCCGGCGCCUCGCGAUCUCGAGGGUGCCGGUGGCGGCGCUGGGCGGCGCGCAGGGGCUGAUGCCGCUGCACAGCGCGACAGCAUCGGCGCUGCUCACCUCCAUGCUCGGGCUUAAGCCCGGGUCUUGGGGUUGGCUCUCCGAAGGUUUUGCAACGCCUCUAUAA
Molecule: ribosomal RNA, 306 nt
Filed under: Triticum aestivum (bread wheat)
Lineage: Eukaryota; Viridiplantae; Streptophyta; Magnoliopsida; Poales; Poaceae
Description: partial small subunit ribosomal RNA
Source: RNAcentral